UUCCCUUUGUCAUCCUGUGCCU
This 22-nucleotide microRNA is filed under the name Sphenodon punctatus (tuatara). RNAcentral describes it as "Spt-Mir-204-P1_5p (mature (guide))". The record is from RNAcentral. Lineage: Eukaryota; Metazoa; Chordata; Lepidosauria; Sphenodontia; Sphenodontidae.